Molecule: non-coding RNA, 31 nt
Filed under: Rattus norvegicus (Norway rat)
Lineage: Eukaryota; Metazoa; Chordata; Mammalia; Rodentia; Muridae
Source: RNAcentral
UCCUGGAAAUUUAGUGAACACAGUCCUAGGA